Molecule: long non-coding RNA, 200 nt
Organism: Telopea speciosissima
Lineage: Eukaryota; Viridiplantae; Streptophyta; Magnoliopsida; Proteales; Proteaceae
Exons: 2
Source: RefSeq, a predicted model, not a curated record
CAGAUCAAGGGCCCCAUGAUGGACCUUUCCGCUCAUCAGAGCAGAUUAGAUGACGGCAGUAUGGUAAACAUUUCUCACAAAGUUAUCAAGGAUACAUGUAUCCCUGUACAUACAAAUGAAUAUGGUUUCGUCCGUCAACCCACAGAUAUACAACUUGUGCAAUUCCUUUGAGGUGAUCAAACCUUGUUUUAUUGCUGGAA